This is a long non-coding RNA of Coffea arabica (coffee), 724 nucleotides long. RefSeq lists it as uncharacterized. Lineage: Eukaryota; Viridiplantae; Streptophyta; Magnoliopsida; Gentianales; Rubiaceae. The record is from RefSeq and is a predicted model, not a curated record.
AUCCCUCCUUUUUUAUAAAGUCCACCCACCGCCAAGCUUGUGCUAUCCAUUGAUUCCAUGAAUUUUCACGCAGACUCAUUGCUUCGAUUCCCUUCCAGUCCACUAUUGAUGAUUAGCAUGCAAAUCAUAUCGUACACUAGUUGUGGCAAACUCGUGAAGGACAACCUCUUUAGUCUUUAGAUUCAUAGCCCCUUUCCCUUCGUGGCUUCAUGAUCAUCUUGGUCACAUUUUCGGGCAUUCUGGUAAAGCUACACCAUCACUAGCCCAGCCAUCUCUGCCAGUUUACAGGUAACAUCAUUGAGCUCAAGGGUCCAACUUCAUUUGUUCAGAGACAAAUGCUACCUCUGUGGUUGGUUGAUUUAAUUGGAAGAUGGUGAUCUCCAAAUGGGAAUUUUCAUCCUCCCCAUCAAUUAUCCUCAAUGAUGCUAUAGAAUUGUUGUGAUUGGGACUCCCAACAGUGAGUCCAACAACCUGAGUCAAAAACUGUGGGUUGCGUUGCAACAAGCCCAACCAGGAAAAUCUGAAAACCACAAGUGGAUUUGUAAUGGAUUCUGCUUAACGUAGUAACUACUCAAUUAGUAUGUAUGUAUCUGUCAUAAUUGACUAUUGAUCAUGUAUAUGUAUAUGUAAAAUUACUAAUGAAUUUGGUUUGUAUGUAUCGCCCGUUUGUUGUUUUUGACUUUUGCCCAACUAAAAGUACUUGAGCUGUUCAAUAGCAUCUCAU